RNAcentral lists this ribosomal RNA (484 nucleotides) under uncultured bacterium. RNAcentral's name for it is "partial 16S ribosomal RNA". It matches the Rfam family "Bacterial small subunit ribosomal RNA", at positions 30 to 523 of the family's 1533-position model. The record is from RNAcentral.
AUUGAACGCUGGCGGCGCGCUUAACACAUGCAAGUCGAACGAGAACGGGUUAUAGCUUGCUAUAAUUGUCAGCUAAGUGGCGCACGGGUGAGUAAUGUAUAGGUAAUAUGCCUCUUACUAAGGGAUAACAAAUGGAAACGUUUGCUAAUACCUUAUACUCCUUAUUAACAGAAGUUAAUAAGGGAAAGAUUUAUUGGUAAGAGAUUAGCCUGUAUUGUAUCAGUUAGUUGGUGAGGUAAUGGCUUACCAAGACUAUGACACAUAACUGGUUUGAGAGGAUGAUCAGUCACACUGGAACUGAGACACGGUCCAGACUCCUGCGGGAGGCAGCAGUGGGGAAUAUUGCACAAUGGACGAAAGUCUGAUGCAGCAACGCCGCGUGGAGGAUGACACAUUUCGGUGCGUAAACUCCUUUUAUAUGAGAAGAUAAUGACGGUAUUAUAUGAAUAAGCACCGGCUAACUCCGUGCCAGCAGCCGCGGUAA